Molecule: unclassified non-coding RNA, 1103 nt
Filed under: Hevea brasiliensis (rubber tree)
Lineage: Eukaryota; Viridiplantae; Streptophyta; Magnoliopsida; Malpighiales; Euphorbiaceae
Source: RNAcentral
CAAAUUUUGUUUUUAUUCUCAUUUCAGGUAUAUUUCUUGAAGUCCUCGUGGGAUUGAAUGAUCAGGUGGUCAUCUUCCCAUUCAUCACGGUAUGUCUUGGGCCGGACAGUACUGUUUUUGGUAGUAUAAUGGUACAUUUGGUUUCUCCAUUCUUCAAAGCCUGGACAUUGGCACUGUGCAGCAAGCCACUUGUUGUAGUCAGCCUGAUGAUUAAAUAAAUUAUGGGUAUAUCGCUUAGGUAUGCCAGAAGCUUCAAGUGUUGAGUAGAAAGUGUUGACAUCUUCCACCAUCUCCUCUUGAGAUGGAAGCAAAAUUCUACCAGAUAAAACACUAGCAAUCCACUUGCUUUGAAAUUCUAACAUUGGGAAAGGGGUGACCUUCCAUGGUAUGCCAACAAAUGAAACCCAUGGGGCCAAGACAGGGGGGAAAACAUGCUUGUACAGUGGCCCCACACGAUUGUCAUUAACAGUCACAAUGCCAUGGGUUUUGAGGAAGGGGAAGUGAUACUUGUACCCGGUGCAAUGCAGAAUAACGUCUGCAACAAUAGCACUACCAUCUCUGAAAACCACAGUACCAUCUUCAUGGGAACUUUCUAUCAUUGAAUGAAGCCACAUAUUAUCAUAUCCGCGUUGUUUUUCAUAUGUACCAUCUGGAACUGAUCUAGAUGCAAUGUGGACCUCUUUGGCAACUGCAGCUAUCUCAGCGGAUAUAUCAGCAGAACUCCAGGAAUGGCCUAUUAUAAUUAUCAUCUGAUCCCUGAAAGGCUCUGGAGUACGAUAGUUGUGGCUGUGUAUUUGCUUUCCAGGCCACAAAUCGACGCCUGGAAUUUCAGCUAUACGAGGUUCUGUAUGAUGUCCACUGCAAACAACCACAGCAUCAAAAACCUCAUCUAGAAAACAAUCAUUCCCAUAAUUAUCGCCAUCACUCUCAAUUCUCUUCUUGUGUGACUUCACUUUCCAAUUCCGAUCAUCAAUCAGCUCCACGCUAACCACCUCACGGUGAAACCUAAUCAGCUCUUCAAUCCUAAACUUCCUUGCAAAGUCUUGCAAAUAGAGCAACACUUCUCUGUGACCCGGAAACCUUCUCGGGUCUCUCGUUUCACC